Neofelis nebulosa (Clouded leopard) is the source of this 277-nucleotide long non-coding RNA. RefSeq lists it as uncharacterized. The record is from RefSeq and is a predicted model, not a curated record. Lineage: Eukaryota; Metazoa; Chordata; Mammalia; Carnivora; Felidae. The transcript is spliced from 2 exons.
GCACGUUCUAGGGGAAAAGGGAGGGUGCAAGUCUGGUUACUGUGUUUUCAUGGACCCAUUCCCUAGCAAGGAGGUGGGUUUGAGGUCUGGGGAACAGCAUGCAGGUCCCUGCCCAGUUAUUUCCACAAGAAUGGGAAGGAGAGUGAAAUCCUGGAGAGGGAGAGAUGAUUUGGUGGAGCAAGGCUGCCAGGGGCCUGGAUGAUAAUCUGGAGCAGGCAUCAUUAUCUGACUAUAAGGAGAGUGACCAGCAUGUUGGCAAUAAAGAAUAGUUAAGCAA